UGAUGAAGGAGAAGUCGCAACGUGUUCUCAGUAGGUGAUCCUGCGGGGGGAUCACAACAAGUGCCCCCGGUCCAACCCCGGGGAUUUUCAUACCCUUUUGUUCUCAGACUCGUUGCCCCUCGGGGGCGCCCCCCCCUUGGGGGGGGGCCUCGGGGGGCACUUUUCAAAUUCUGGGGUACCUUGCCAUUUGGAGUAAAUUUAAUUAAUAAAUUAAAACUUUAACCAACGGUUUUUUGGGUUUGGCCUUGGAGGAGGAAGGCAGGGAAAUGGGAUAAGUAAUGGGAAUUCCGGAAUCCAGGGAUUCUUGGAUUCUUGGAACCCCCAUUGCCCCCCCGGGUAUUCCGGGGGCCAGGAGGGUUGGAGGUCCAUUUCCCCAUCCAACCCUCGCUGGGUAUUGGGCAACGCGGUUCCCCGCGCGCCUUCAAUUGGACGGGUGGGUUCUUCGGUCCCUCUAAGCGUUGGGAACUAUUUCGUAAAGGGGCCUCGGGAGGCCACGCCGUAAAACAACCCCAUUUCUAAGGUUGACCUCCCCGGGAUUCAGGGAUACCCGCUGAACAACUUAAUAUCAAUAAUCGGAGGAAAA
This 583-nucleotide ribosomal RNA is filed under the name Cladosporium sp. MBC008. RNAcentral's name for it is "eukaryotic LSU rRNA". Lineage: Eukaryota; Fungi; Ascomycota; Dothideomycetes; Cladosporiales; Cladosporiaceae. The record is from RNAcentral.